Molecule: ribosomal RNA, 1662 nt
Filed under: Triticum aestivum (bread wheat)
Lineage: Eukaryota; Viridiplantae; Streptophyta; Magnoliopsida; Poales; Poaceae
Description: partial small subunit ribosomal RNA
Source: RNAcentral
AUGGAUUUUCCACGACGGCGUGCCGAGCUCCUGGCGACUCUCUCGUCGGAGGGUCGGGCGACGUAUGAGGUGCUCAGGGCCCAGCUAGCCCGUGAUGUGGACCGGUGCUUUGCUGAGUCCAAGGCGAGGCUAGAGAAGGGCAUGGAGGCGGCGCUCGGCGACCUCCACACCAAGCUGGACAGGACUAUCGGCGACCUCCGCCAGAAGGUGCGUAGCGACCACGGCCGUAGGUGCGCCCCUGCGGCGGCAGCCUCUACUGCGACAGCGCCUGCUAUGUCGACGUCGGCUGGGAGCCAUGUCUUCCCCGACCCCAAUCACGGCCCCGACCUGUCGUCUUCGACUUCGUCAACGACGAACACGGCCAGGCCUAUGCGCGUCUCGAGCAGCAGCAUCACCACCGACGGGUCCCAUGAGUUGGAGGUUGCUGCCUCCUCCUCCGACCCCGCUCCAGCGGCAGCGGCCACGAGCAUCUCCGUGUGGAGCGCGACUGCCGUCGCCCCCGCAUCAGGCGGCGUUCCCUCCCUCGUCGCGUCGGCCACCACCCGCUCGACGAGCCCAGGAGGAGACAUCGAUGCGGCACCAGACGCCAACCCUCUGGUGUCCACGGGUCCCAUCGGCAUGCCUGCGUCCACCAUGCAGAGCGAGCCAGACCAUGUGCGUGAGACGCCCAUCACCUGUUCGACGCUUGGCCUCUACCCCGUCGCCAACGCCAUUCAGAUCAACAAGGUCCCCCUACCUGAGAUUGCUGUGUCCCCAACACGAUCUGCAGCCUUCUCCACCUCCACCUUCAUGGCUGCAGUGUCCGCCUCACUCGAUUCAGAACUUGCUCUCGCCACGCCCACCAUGUGUUCGACCGAGUGCCCUGGAGAAGAAAACAGUGAAACAAGGACCACGCCCACUUGUACAGCAGCGCCGCCGGCAUCCUCGACCAGUGCUAUUCCUGCUAUGUGUGAGGUGAGCAUAGAGGUCAAUUCCAUGGCUCUGAUGGAUAUAACCAGUUCGUCUCCAAUCCUCACAAAGGUCACAACCACCCAAGCAUUGUCGCCUACCAAGUGUUCGACAGAAGGCCUGAACGGCGAGACCAGUGUGGCUUGUCUCAAGUAUUUAGUCAGCUCACAUCACCAGUUGCAGCAGCACGUGUGGUUCGCCGAGUUCAAAACUGAAUUGAGGAAGAGCCGUGAGGAAUUGUUGGCAGCCAGGAAGGAGAUGAACUCAGUAUCCUUGCUCACAAUCAGGUUCCUGUUUCAGUGUGUUCCAGGUUAUGGGCUAUUAACAUUAUCAUGGGAUCCAGGACAACACGCAGUUGAUUCGGCUGCAACUAUUUGCGAUCAAGGUAUCCGUGCCAUUUGUCACCAGCAACUUUCUGUCCAUACUAGGCUACAGAUUGCAUGGUCAGUCGUUUGGGAAUUCUCUUGUGUUGGAUCAAGGAGGACUGCUGUCAGCUUCUUAUUCGAUUCAGCUGGUGGUUUGGCAGUUGUUUUAUUCAGUACACGGUGCUCGGUUCUUGCAUAUUGUGUUGCCAAUAUAGUACCAUUUUCUGAUCCAGUUGAGUCAGAUUCUACUCCGCAAAUAAUUGAGAUGAGGCUUGCUACUCGCAUCUUUAGUCACAAGACAGCACCAGCAGUCUCGAAGCAGAAGGAAGUGUGUCAGAAUCUCAGAUGA